This 1182-nucleotide ribosomal RNA is filed under the name uncultured bacterium. Its description in RNAcentral is "bacterial SSU rRNA". It matches the Rfam family "Bacterial small subunit ribosomal RNA", at positions 212 to 1398 of the family's 1533-position model. The record is from RNAcentral.
GGUGUGAACAUGGAUGGACCUGCGGCGCAUUAGCUGGUUGGUGAGGUAACGGCCCACCAAGGCGAUGAUGCGUAGCCGACCUGAGAGGGUGAACGGCCACAUUGGGACUGAGACACGGCCCAAACUCCUACGGGAGGCAGCAGUAGGGAAUUUUCGUCAAUGGGGGGAACCCUGAACGAGCAAUGCCGCGUGUGUGAAGAAGGUCUUCGGAUCGUAAAGCACUGUUGUAAGUGAAGAAUGCCAUAUAGAGGAAAUGCUAUGUGGGUGACGGUAGCUUACCAGAAAGCCACGGCUAACUACGUGCCAGCAGCCGCGGUAAUACGUAGGUGGCAAGCGUUAUCCGGAAUCAUUGGGCGUAAAGGGUGCGUAGGUGGCACGAUAAGUCUGAAGUAAAAGGCAACAGCUCAACUGUUGUAUGCUUUGGAAACUGUCGAGCUAGAGUGCAGAAGAGGGCGAUGGAAUUCCAUGUGUAGCGGUAAAAUGCGUAGAUAUAUGGAGGAACACCAGUGGCGAAGGCGGUCGCCUGGUCUGUAACUGACACUGAUGCACGAAAGCGUGGGGAGCAAAUAGGAUUAGAUACCCUAGUAGUCCACCCCCGUAAACGAUGAGAACUAAGUGUUGGAGAGAUUCAGUGCUGCAGUUAACGCAAUAAGUUCUCCGCCUGGGGAGUAUGCACGCAAGUGUGAAACUCAAAGGAAUUGACGGGGGCCCGCACAAGCGGUGGAGUAUGUGGUUUAAUGCGAAGCAACGCGAAGAACCUUACCAGGCCUUGACAUGGAUAUAAAUGUUCUAGAGAUAGAAAGAUAGCUAUAUAUCACACAGGUGGUGCAUGGUUGUCGUCAGCUCGUGUCGUGAGAUGUUGGGUUAAGUCCCGCAACGAGCGCAACCCUUAUCUUCAGUAGCCAUCAUUCAGUUGGGCACUCUGGAGAGACUGCCGUGGAUAACACGGAGGAAGGUGGGGAUGACGUCAAAUCAUCAUGCCCCUUAUGUCUUGGGCUACACACGUGCUACAAUGGCUGGUAACAAAGUGACGCAAGACGGCGACGUUAAGCAAAUCACAAAAACCCAGUCCCAGUUCGGAUUGUAGUCUGCAACUCGACUACAUGAAGCUGGAAUCGCUAGUAAUCGCGAAUCAGCAUGUCGCGGUGAAUACGUUCCCGGGCCUUGCACUCAGCGCCCGUC